ACGGAAGGUGCAAGCAUUGUUCGGAUUGACUGGGCGUAAAGAGCGCGUAGGUGGGUUUGUAUGUCGGAUGUGAAAUCCCUAGGCUUAACCUGGGAACUGCAUCCGAAACGGCAGAUCUUGAAUGUUUGAGAGGUUGGCGGAAUUCCAGGUGUAGGAGUGAAAUCCGUAGAUAUCUGGAGGAACACCGGAGGCGAAGGCGGCUGACUAACAAAACAUUGACACUGAGGCGCGAAAGCGUGGGUAGCAAACAGG
This 252-nucleotide ribosomal RNA is filed under the name uncultured bacterium. RNAcentral's name for it is "partial 16S ribosomal RNA". It matches the Rfam family "Bacterial small subunit ribosomal RNA", at positions 525 to 776 of the family's 1533-position model. The record is from RNAcentral.